This 74-nucleotide transfer RNA is filed under the name Myotis davidii. It matches the Rfam family "tRNA". Rfam says of the family: Transfer RNA (tRNA) molecules are approximately 80 nucleotides in length. Lineage: Eukaryota; Metazoa; Chordata; Mammalia; Chiroptera; Vespertilionidae. The record is from Rfam by way of RNAcentral.
GCUGAUGUGGCUCAGUGGGUUGAGCAUCAGCCUGCGGACUGAAGGGUCCUGGGUUCGAUUCCCGGUCAAGGGCA